Molecule: ribosomal RNA, 393 nt
Filed under: Nasutitermes ephratae
Lineage: Eukaryota; Metazoa; Arthropoda; Insecta; Blattodea; Termitidae
Description: partial 16S ribosomal RNA
Source: RNAcentral
CAUCUUUUCUUGUUAGUUUUUGAAGUAUGGCCUGCCCACUGACUUAGAGUUGAAGGGCCGCGGUAUUUUGACCGUGCAAAGGUAGCAUAAUCAUUAGUUCUUUAAUUGUGAUCUGGUAUGAAUGGCUUGACGAGACAUAAGCUGUCUUAGGAGUAUUGAUUUAUUGAAUUUGGUUUUUGAGUUAAAAUUCUUAAAUGUUUUUAUGGGACGAGAAGACCCUAUAGAGUUUGACAAUUUUCCUAUUUAUUCGUUGUUUGUUUUAUUUACAUUGAGUGGGAGUGAAUUGUUUUGUUGGGGUGAUGGGAGGAAUAUUGUUUAACUCCUCUUUAUUUUUAUAUAUUUAUGUAUAUAUUUUUGAUCCAUUUAUUUUGAUUAUAAGAUUAAAUUACCUUA